This is a transfer RNA of 74 nucleotides. It matches the Rfam family "tRNA". From Rfam's summary of the family: Transfer RNA (tRNA) molecules are approximately 80 nucleotides in length. Their secondary structure includes four short double-helical elements and three loops (D, anti-codon, and T loops).
GGCGAGCCUAGCUGAGCGGUUCAAGCACUGGUCUGUGGAUCCAGAGUAGGCGGGUUCAAUUCCCGUUGUUCGCC